Molecule: long non-coding RNA, 1383 nt
Filed under: Rattus norvegicus (Norway rat)
Lineage: Eukaryota; Metazoa; Chordata; Mammalia; Rodentia; Muridae
Description: long non-coding RNA NONRATT009241
Source: RNAcentral
UGUUGUGGAAUAUUUAAGCAACGGAGGAGUAGCAGACAACCACAAAGACUUCAAGGAACUAAGGUACAAUGAGUGUCUUAUGAACUUCAGCUGUAGUGGAAAGAACGGAAGCUCAGAAGGGAGAAUCACACAUGGCUUCCAACUUAAGAGCGCCUAUGAAAAUAACUUGAUGCCUUAUACCAAUUACACCUUUGAUUUCAAAGUAAGUAGCAGACUCUGGAUUAGCAUCUGACUAUUUUAAGUAAAAGCAUGUAAAUAAAACACUAUAAACUCUUAUGAUUAAGAGUUUUCAGGGCUGCUGGUUGUAGUGGCACAUACCUGUAGGAUUGAUUUGCUUGAAGAGUCUGUAGGGCUCUGGCCUCUGCCAGCACCAGGCACGCAGAUGUUUCACAGACAUACAUGCAGGCAAAGUACCCAUAGACAUAAAACAAAAGAAGAAUUAGCACUGAUUCAAAACCAAGGAAGCAAACAAAAAUCAAAGUUUCAAAAUGUCUGGCUUAAAUAUAAGCUAAACAAGGAAUUUUGUUGAGUUUCAUGAUCAUAAUUGAUGUCACUUAAAUUUUUUUAAACUUUUGUUCACAUUUCAGAUAAUAGUGAUAAUAGCUCAUAUUUCUAAAAUUUUUUACUAUGUAUCAGGCACUGUUGAAAUUCAGCUAAUCUUCAUCUGUUUAUCACCUGCGCUUAGCAAGAAUUUAAGCAUCUGAUAUAGCUAAACUUUCCUGGAAUGAACUCAUACACUAUUCUGUCCAAGUUUUCUUUGAAUAUCUUACUUAUGAUUUCCCAAGUUUCUUCUAGGGGUAAUAGGUUUUACUUAAUGUCGGUCUUAUCUACGUAGUUGCAUUAGUAUAUUCCCAAGUCAUCUAUGGAACACUUCACUUUUUAAGUUUUAAAAGAAAAGAAGUCUUAAAAAUAGGAACCUGCUGUUCAUGUUGAGGGCAAGAUACUCCCUGAUACACUGAUGGCAACGGCUCACUGUGGCUGUGGUUGCUCCCCUUUUGCAUUUUCUAAUCAUUUUGUCUGCUGGUAGCUGUUCUCUUUGCCUUUGUUUGACUUCCUCUCGUGUUCAGAAUGAGUUGUACAUCUUGUUUUACCCUAAAAAUACAUAUAUAGAUAUAGGAAGUUGUUAGUAUACAAAGCUUAGAGAAUUUAUAAUAUAAUACAAAAGGGAAAUAUUAAAUAGGCUCAUUCACAUCCUUUUUUCUUUUUUGUUUUGUUUUAUUUUUUGAUACUGGGUUUCUCUGUAUAUCCCUGACUGACUUGGAACUGACUGUGUAGACUGGAUGGCUUUGAAAUCAUAGAAAUAUGAUUCUGCCUUUGCCUCCUGUGUGCCGGGAUUAAAGAUUAAAGCUUUAUACCACCAUGCCUAGCCUCCUUUUUUAAAAG